Molecule: ribosomal RNA, 450 nt
Filed under: uncultured bacterium
Lineage: Bacteria
Description: partial 16S ribosomal RNA
Rfam family: Bacterial small subunit ribosomal RNA
Source: RNAcentral
GUGGGGAAUAUUGGACAAUGGGCGAAAGCCUGAUCCAGCCAUGCCGCGUGUGUGAAGAAGGUCUUUGGAUUGUAAAGCACUUUAAGUUGGGAGGAAGGGCAGUAAGUUAAUACCUUGCUGUUUUGACGUUACCGACAGAAUAAGCACCGGCUAACUUCGUGCCAGCAGCCGCGGUAAUACGAAGGGUGCAAGCGUUAAUCGGAAUUACUGGGCGUAAAGCGCGCGUAGGUGGUUUUGUAAGUUGGAGGUGAAAUCCCCGGGCUCAACCUGGGAACUGCCUCCAAAACUGCAUGACUAGAGUACGGUAGAGGGUAGUGGAAUUUCCUGUGUAGCGGUGAAAUGCGUAGAUAUAGGAAGGAACACCAGUGGCGAAGGCGACUACCUGGACUGAUACUGACACUGAGGUGCGAAAGCGUGGGGAGCAAACAGGAUUAGAAACCCCGGUAGUCC